UGCUCGGCUGGAUGAAGUCGGUCACUGCACCGGCGGUGUUGAUGGUGGCGACGUCGUUGUAGGUGCUGAUGCGUUCGAAGCGCACGCCGGGCGU
RNAcentral lists this transfer RNA (94 nucleotides) under Oxalicibacterium flavum. RNAcentral's name for it is "tRNA-Asn". The record is from RNAcentral. Lineage: Bacteria; Pseudomonadati; Pseudomonadota; Betaproteobacteria; Burkholderiales; Oxalobacteraceae.